UGGGGAAUCUUGCACAAUGGGCGAAAGCCUGAUGCAGCAACGCCGCGUGAGGGACGAAGGCUUUCUGAGUUGUAAACCUCUUUCAGUAGGGACGAUAAUGACGGUACCUGCAGAAGAAGCCCCGGCCAACUACGUGCCAGCAGCCGCGGUAAUACGUAGGGGGCAAGCGUUGUCCGGAUUUAUUGGGCGUAAAGAGCUCGUAGGCGGCUUGGCAAGUCGGAUGUGAAACCUCCAGGCUUAACCUGGAGUCGCCAUCCGAUACUGCCAUGGCUAGAGUUUGGUAGGGGACCACGGAAUUCCUGGUGUAGCGGUGAAAUGCGCAGAUAUCAGGAGGAACACCAGCGGCGAAGGCGGUGGUCUGGGCCAAUACUGACGCUGAGGAGCGAAAGCGUGGGGAGCGAACAGG
RNAcentral lists this ribosomal RNA (406 nucleotides) under uncultured Acidimicrobiia bacterium. RNAcentral describes it as "bacterial SSU rRNA". It matches the Rfam family "Bacterial small subunit ribosomal RNA", at positions 355 to 776 of the family's 1533-position model. The record is from RNAcentral. Lineage: Bacteria; Bacillati; Actinomycetota; Acidimicrobiia.